AGGCGGCAUGGCCAAGUGGUAAGGCAGAGGAUUGCAAAUUCUUUAUCCCCAGUUCAAAUCUGGGUGCCGCCUU
Molecule: transfer RNA, 73 nt
Filed under: Taenioma perpusillum
Lineage: Eukaryota; Rhodophyta; Florideophyceae; Ceramiales; Delesseriaceae
Description: tRNA-Cys
Rfam family: tRNA
About the family: Transfer RNA (tRNA) molecules are approximately 80 nucleotides in length. Their secondary structure includes four short double-helical elements and three loops (D, anti-codon, and T loops). Further hydrogen bonds mediate the characteristic L-shaped molecular structure. tRNAs have two regions of fundamental functional importance: the anti-codon, which is responsible for specific mRNA codon recognition, and the 3' end, to which the tRNAs corresponding amino acid is attached (by aminoacyl-tRNA synthetases). tRNAs cope with the degeneracy of the genetic code in two manners: having more than one tRNA (with a specific anti-codon) for a particular amino acid; and 'wobble' base-pairing, i.e. permitting non-standard base-pairing at the 3rd anti-codon position.
Source: RNAcentral